This 23-nucleotide non-coding RNA is filed under the name Drosophila melanogaster (fruit fly). The record is from RNAcentral. Lineage: Eukaryota; Metazoa; Arthropoda; Insecta; Diptera; Drosophilidae.
UGAGCUAGAACUGCACCCACUCC